This 482-nucleotide ribosomal RNA is filed under the name uncultured bacterium. RNAcentral's name for it is "bacterial SSU rRNA". It matches the Rfam family "Bacterial small subunit ribosomal RNA", at positions 30 to 506 of the family's 1533-position model. The record is from RNAcentral.
UUGAACGCUGGCGGAAUGCUUUACACAUGCAAGUCGAACGGCAGCACGGGGGCAACCUUGGUGGCGAGUGGCGAACGGGUGAGUAAUACCUAGGAACAUGUCCAGUAAUGGGGGAUAACGCAGCGAAAGCUGUGCUAAUACCGCAUACGACCUGAGGGAGAAAGCGGGGGCUCGCAAGACCUCGCGCGAUUGGAGUGGCCGAUAUCUGAUUAGCUAGAUGGUGAGGUAAAGGCUCACCAUGGCGACGAUCAGUAGCUGGUCUGAGAGGAUGAUCAGCCACACUGGGACUGAGACACGGCCCAGACUCCUACGGGAGGCAGCAGUGGGGAAUUUUGGACAAUGGGCGAAAGCCUGAUCCAGCCAUUCCGCGUGAGUGAAGAAGGCCUUCGGGUUGUAAAGCUCUUUCGGCAGGAACGAAACGGUGGGGUCUAAUACGCCUUACUAAUGACGGUACCUGAAGAAGAAGCACCGGCUAACUACGU